UGGCUGUGUGGGAGGGCCCUAGAAUGUAAGUCGGAUGUUUGUAACUCUCUGUAUGUGCAAAUUAAUUUGUAGAUAGAAAAUGACUUGAAAGCAUUCAAAAACAACAAUCAAAAUGUGCAGCAAAGUGAAAGACAGCAGGAAAUCAUAAGAGUCGCCCUUUUACAAAGCCUUCCGCCUUCUCUGUCACAGUGUGCUGGUGCCUUCCCAAACAAGAACUGCAUAGCAUUGAGCCAGGGCAGAUAAAGUGAUGUCAAAGUGUGUUCAUUCUACAGUGGGAUCAGUAAUUUUAAAAUCCAAGACCUACACAACAUAUACAUGUGUAAGGAUAAAGAGGAGGAGAGAAAUAAGUCUGCUUCUUUGAACUUUUUGGAAGAAAGGUACUCAUUCCUUGCCUUGUGUGGGAACCAGAGAUGGGACAUAAUCUAAGGAACAAAGGAUUUCCUGGAUCUCAAUAGGAGGCUAUCUGACUGCUGCUCAAAAGUUCCCUUUUGGGGAUCUUACCUAUCCAUGGGACAAAAGUCUAGGAAGAAACUUUGAUAGCAAUCUCAUCAACAGUAGACAUGUUUGAGACUCUUUCUUUGUCUCACCAGCAUGGGGACCAACAACUCUCUCUGUCCUCUGCACCGGGCCCCAAAAUCUGCAUAAUGCUGUCAAAUAAUCUUUUGGACUUUUCUUUGUCUUCAGCAUUCCAUUGCUACACACCCAGGGGGUUGACAUAGUCCCUGGAAACCUCUCCAUCCCCGGGAUUGCCUCCACCAGCCCCAGGACCUCCCUGUAAGCCCCAGGACCUCCCUGCCCAGCUGGGGGGAGAUCCCCGCCAUUGUCACUGCCGCCUUCUCCAAUCAAGGUGGCCACUGUCUAGGACCCACCUCCUGAUCAGUCAGAGGUCUGGGAAAUGCUGGCCGGCUUCUCAGCGCUAGCCAGUUAGCGGGAAGGGACGGAUAUUCAAAAUGUAGCAAUAUUAAUGCAUGAUAACUUUUGUGUAUAAAAAUGCCUGCUUAUGAUUAUGCUUUUACACCUGUACCCUUUGAGCACCAGUUGCUGUACAAGUGUCCCUUCUGUUCAGAUUAAAUAAAGUCUCUGUCACUUGCCUUCAA
This is a long non-coding RNA of Anolis carolinensis (green anole), 1097 nucleotides long. RefSeq lists it as uncharacterized. The record is from RefSeq and is a predicted model, not a curated record. Lineage: Eukaryota; Metazoa; Chordata; Lepidosauria; Squamata; Anolidae. The transcript is spliced from 4 exons.